AGAGUUUGAUCCUGGCUCAGAACGAACGCUGGCGGCGUGCCUAACACAUGCAAGUCGAGGGAGAAAGCCCGCAAGGGUGAGUAAACCGGCGAACGGGUGCGUAACACGUGGAUAAUCUACCUUCCUGACCGGGACAACUGGCCGAAAGGCUUGCUAAUACCGGAUAAGACCACGGGCCCUUCGGGGCCUGAGGGAAAAGGUGGCCUCUGUAAACAAGCUAUCACAGGGAGAUGAGUCCGCGGCCCAUCAGCUAGUUGGCGGGGUAAAAGCCCACCAAGGCAACGACGGGUAGCUGGUCUGAGAGGAUGAUCAGCCACACUGGAACUGAGACACGGUCCAGACUCCUACGGGAGGCAGCAGUGGGGAAUCUUGCGCAAUGGGCGAAAGCCUGACGCAGCAACGCCGCGUGUGUGAUGAAGGUCUUCGGACCGUAAAGCACUGUCGCGAGGGACGAAUAAGGGGCGGGCUAACAUCCCGUUCCGAUGACGGUACCUCGAGAGGAAGCACCGGCUAACUCUGUGCCAGCAGCCGCGGUAAUACAGAGGGUGCAAGCGUUGUUCGGAAUUAUUGGGCGUAAAGCGCGUGUAGGCGGCUUUGUAAGUUGGGUGUGAAAGCCCUCGGCUUAACCGAGGAAGUGCGCCCAAAACUGCAUGGCUUGAGUACCGGAGAGGGUGGCGGAAUUCCCGGUGUAGAGGUGAAAUUCGUAGAUAUCGGGAGGAACACCAGCGGCGAAGGCGGCCACCUGGACGGAUACUGACGCUGAGACGCGAAAGCGUGGGGAGCAAACAGGAUUAGAUACCCUGGUAGUCCACGCCGUAAACGAUGAUUGCUUGGUGUGUCGGGUACCCAAUCCCGCCGUGCCGAAGCUAACGCGAUAAGCAAUCCGCCUGGGGAGUACGGUCGCAAGACUGAAACUCAAAGGAAUUGACGGGGGCCCGCACAAGCGGUGGAGCAUGUGGUUCAAUUCGACGCAACGCGAAGAACCUUACCUGGGCUCGAAAUGUAGUGGACCGGGGUGGAAACAUCCCUUCCCGCAAGGGCUGCUAUAUAGGUGCUGCAUGGCUGUCGUCAGCUCGCGUCGUGAGAUGUUGGGUUAAGUCCCGCAACGAGCGCAACCCUUAUUGUCAGUUGCCAUCAUUCAGUUGGGCACUCUGGCGAAACCGCCUCGGAUAACGGGGAGGAAGGUGGGGAUGACGCCAAGUCCUCAUGGCCUUUAUGUCCAGGGCUACACACGUGCUACAAUGGUCGGUACAAACCGUCGCAAACCCGCGAGGGGGAGCUAAUCGGAAAAAGCCGACCUCAGUUCGGAUUGGAGUCUGCAACUCGACUCCAUGAAGCUGGAAUCGCUAGUAAUCGCGGAUCAGAACGCCGCGGUGAAUACGUUCCCGGGCCUUGUACACACCGCCCGUCACAUCACGAAAGUGGGCUGUACUAGAAGCCGGUGGGCUAACCGCAAGGAAGCAGCCGUCCAAGGUAUAACUCAUGAUUGGGGUGAAGUCGUAACAAGGUAUCC
This 1513-nucleotide ribosomal RNA is filed under the name uncultured bacterium. RNAcentral describes it as "bacterial SSU rRNA". It matches the Rfam family "Bacterial small subunit ribosomal RNA". The record is from RNAcentral.